UUCCCUCUCUCCGUUCUUUUUGCUGUUGCCUUAAGACUCGUUUAAGUGAAUUUUCUUGAGCAAUUUGUAGUAAAAGUAUUUCUUGGUCUUUCAAAUUUGGAUUCUGGUUGAGCUCAUUGGCAAUCUCUGAUGCGCAUAAAUAAGCAUUCUUAGCUAACGUCUGUACUGACGAAUUGUGUAUAGUUGUAAGGUGGCUUAUAAAAGAAAUCGAGUCACCAGCAAAUUCACAAUCAAAAGGGCAUCGAAUUAUUAUAGCAUCGUCGGAACUCAUUCUAGUCGGUGUUCUUGAAAUUCAUUG
Molecule: non-coding RNA, 298 nt
Organism: Schizosaccharomyces pombe (fission yeast)
Lineage: Eukaryota; Fungi; Ascomycota; Schizosaccharomycetes; Schizosaccharomycetales; Schizosaccharomycetaceae
Source: the annotation of a GenBank genome assembly